RNAcentral lists this long non-coding RNA (1155 nucleotides) under Salmo salar (Atlantic salmon). RNAcentral describes it as "lncRNA (ENSSSAG00000105921.1)". Lineage: Eukaryota; Metazoa; Chordata; Actinopteri; Salmoniformes; Salmonidae. The record is from RNAcentral.
CAAACACAGUAUUGCCACGCAGCAAAAUGUUGCAUAUAAUCUUUCAAGUCAGCCUGAUAAAAUAUUGAACAAUUUGUGUACAAAGAUAUCUUGAAAUGUGAUAUUAGGGCUGUAUGGCAGUACUGUUACUGUAUGGCAGUACUGUAUUGGCUAGUGCUUUCUCCAAUAUGUUCUUCUAUUUUACAUUACAUUGUAUGUCGAUGACAUUUAUCUUUAAAUAUUGAUGUAGUACAUUUACAAUUACGUAAUUUAGCAGACGAUCUUAUCCAGAGCGACUUACAAAUUACAAAGUAUAUAUAUAUAGAUAUAUAUAUAUAUAUUAAUGCUUGUAAGACUAUUCUUUGACACAUUUUCUCUUCCUUUGAAAUUCUUAUAGGACAGAACAUGGACACAAUGCAAUUGGGAUCAAGAAGAAGGUACAGAUAUGUUGUAGGACAGCUGCAUUUGAAGUGUACAUUUAACCUACAUAGCAGUCAAUACAAACUGAAAUCUAUUAGCAUACAAAUGUGUGCAAAUGAUCUUUUGAGAUCUUCUCAGAAAUGAAUCAAGUCCAUGGAAUGGAUAUAGACAAAAAGAGAAUUCAAGGACUAUCAGAGGUAGAGAGGCGAGGCAGGGGUGAGGACAUCAUCCUGCUAUUUUGACAGUCCCUGAAGGACAAUACAGAAGAGGACUGGAGACCACAGCAGCGAUUCUGCUCUUGCCCAACCUCUUCAAUGAGGACCCGAGUGGCCUUUAUGUCCGUGACAAGAUUUCACCGCUCUUCACUCCUUUACUGCACAUCGGUGGAAAUCCAUUUCACCAUGAGAGUGAAAUCCCGCUGGCCUUUGAGGGGAGAACAUCCAGGCCCUCGAGGACGUCCCCAUGGGACUUGGAGCUCUGCUACGGCUGGAUUUUUUAUUUUCCCUUCAAUUUCCCAAAAAUGUCAGAAAAACACUUAUGUUGUUAAGUUACUGUGUUCUGGGGAUCAGAGAAGUUGGGGUGAAGUUACCAGGGCCGGUCAUAAAGAUGGAAAACUUCCUAACAUAACUAAGUGGAUAUGAUAUACAUUUACAUUUACAUUUAAGUCAUUUAGCAGACGCUCUUAUCCAGAGCGACUUACAAAUUGGUGCAUUCACCUUAUGAUAUCCAGUGGAACAACCACUUUACAAUAGUGCA